This 546-nucleotide ribosomal RNA is filed under the name uncultured bacterium. RNAcentral describes it as "bacterial SSU rRNA". It matches the Rfam family "Bacterial small subunit ribosomal RNA", at positions 850 to 1398 of the family's 1533-position model. The record is from RNAcentral.
AGCGAAAGCGUUAAGUAUUCCACCUGGGGAGUACGCCGGCAACGGUGAAACUCAAAGGAAUUGACGGGGGCCCGCACAAGCGGAGGAACAUGUGGUUUAAUUCGAUGAUACGCGAGGAACCUUACCCGGGCUUGAAUUGCAACUGAAUGAUGUGGAGACAUGUCAGCCGCAAGGCAGUUGUGAAGGUGCUGCAUGGUUGUCGUCAGCUCGUGCCGUGAGGUGUCGGCUUAAGUGCCAUAACGAGCGCAACCCUUAUCGAUAGUUACCAUCAGGUUAUGCUGGGGACUCUGUCGAGACUGCCGUCGUAAGAUGUGAGGAAGGUGGGGAUGACGUCAAAUCAGCACGGCCCUUACGUCCGGGGCUACACACGUGUUACAAUGGGGGGUACAGAAGGCAGCUACACGGCGACGUGAUGCUAAUCCCUAAAGCCUCUCUCAGUUCGGAUUGGAGUCUGCAACCCGACUCCAUGAAGCUGGAUUCGCUAGUAAUCGCGCAUCAGCCACGGCGCGGUGAAUACGUUCCCGGGCCUUGUACUCACCGCCCGUC